Molecule: ribosomal RNA, 217 nt
Filed under: Glomeromycotina sp.
Lineage: Eukaryota; Fungi; Glomeromycota
Description: partial small subunit ribosomal RNA
Rfam family: Eukaryotic small subunit ribosomal RNA (bases 41-217)
Source: RNAcentral
GGGGUCAGUAGGUUGGUCGUGCCACCGGUACGUACUGGUCUCACUGAUUCCUCCUUCCUGAAGAACCGUAAUGCCAUUAAUUUGGUGUUGCGGGGAAACAGGACUGUUACUUUGAAAAAAUUAGAGUGUUUAAAGCAAGCUAACGCUUGAAUACAUUAGCAUGGAAUAAUGAAAUAGGACGAUCGAUCCUAUUUUGUUGGUUUCUAGGAUUGACGCA